Molecule: transfer RNA, 72 nt
Filed under: Camelus dromedarius (Arabian camel)
Lineage: Eukaryota; Metazoa; Chordata; Mammalia; Artiodactyla; Camelidae
Also listed under: 1 other name
Rfam family: tRNA
About the family: Transfer RNA (tRNA) molecules are approximately 80 nucleotides in length. Their secondary structure includes four short double-helical elements and three loops (D, anti-codon, and T loops). Further hydrogen bonds mediate the characteristic L-shaped molecular structure. tRNAs have two regions of fundamental functional importance: the anti-codon, which is responsible for specific mRNA codon recognition, and the 3' end, to which the tRNAs corresponding amino acid is attached (by aminoacyl-tRNA synthetases). tRNAs cope with the degeneracy of the genetic code in two manners: having more than one tRNA (with a specific anti-codon) for a particular amino acid; and 'wobble' base-pairing, i.e. permitting non-standard base-pairing at the 3rd anti-codon position.
Source: Rfam by way of RNAcentral
GAGGGUAGAGCUCAGUGGUAGAGUGCAUGCUUAGCACGCACGAGGUCCUGGGUUCAAUCCCCAGUACUUCCA